Molecule: long non-coding RNA, 1113 nt
Organism: Mercenaria mercenaria
Lineage: Eukaryota; Metazoa; Mollusca; Bivalvia; Venerida; Veneridae
Exons: 4
Source: RefSeq, a predicted model, not a curated record
UUGGUUGAAGUUUUGCUUGCUAAUUGUUGCCAGAGUAAAAUUUUAAUUUGUAAUACAUUAUUAUGAAAUGACUCAGUUAUGAAAGUCUUGCCAAAUUAUAGCUCUUGUUCGACUUUAGUUGUCGAAUUGUCGAGCACGCUGUCCUAUGGACAGCUUUUGUAUAUACUAAACUUGAUUACCAUGGAAACGUAGAUCUUCAUCUUCUAGGCGGAUAACCGACACUCAGUAGCUUGGCUGUAAUUGUUCAUGGAUCGGCACCACUGAUUUUGAACAUAUAUACAAAUCAUGGACGAAGGUGUCGUCAGAUCUGGAGCCAAAAUGGGUUACCAUGGAAACAUACAUCUAAAUCUAGGCAAUGGUAUAACGGAUAGUCAACGUUCAGAUGUACAAAGUUAUACAGCAGCUUUUUGAGCAUAUAGGGGCUCCCAUGGGAACGCACCUCUACAUCUAAGCAAUUGUAUUAAUGGAUGACCGGCGUUCAGACGUACACAGUUAUAGAGCAGAUUUUGGAGCACAUAGGAUAUUGAUUUCAAAUACAAAAGUGAGAAAUAUCUGCAGAAGGAAGAUGAAUACAUGUCAGACCUAGCACAAGCAUAAAAGCAUGACACCACCACAGCCGCCCUGACACAAGCAAAGUUAAACAAAUUAGACAUAAGCUGACAUGUAUAUAAUUAUAGCCCCACGUACAAAGUGUAUGGGGCUAUAUUGGAGUCACACAUGUCCGCACAUCCGUUCGUCCAUCUUUUCUGCUGGGAAGAUUUUCAUAAAGCCAUCAAUAAUUAACCUCAUUAUGACGAUGUGCAGAGCGCACAACGCAGGUCACUAGGCCCAAAGUCAAAGUAACUCUUGGAGGUCAAAAGUCAAAUAGUUUAACCUCAGGUCCGCUACAUAUUGUCUAAACGGCUUGGAAGAUAUUUAGCUUGACUAAUUGAGGAAUUAACAUUCUUGCCGUGGCAUCGACAUCAUUAUCACCGUUGCAUUCAAGUUAGAAUCGAAUUUUAUGACAAGCUUGUCAAUGUCACUCUAUCUUCUUAACAAUUGCUCCUAUUAACGUCAAACUUCACAUAAGUAUUGUUCUAGGUAAGGGGCAUACAUCUAUUAGCUUAGAGUUAG